GAUGAACGCUGGCGGCGUGCUUAACACAUGCAAGUCGAGCGAAGCUACUUUACUUUGAAUUUCUUCGGAAUGUAAGAGUGAUUUGACUGAGCGGCGGACGGGUGAGUAACGCGUGGGCAACCUGCCUCAUACGAGGGGGAUAACAGUUAGAAAUGACUGCUAAUACCGCAUAAGACCACAGUACCGCAUGGUAUGGUGGUAAAAACUCCGGUGGUAUGAGAUGGGCCCCGUGUCCUGAUUUAGGUAGUUGGUGGGGUAACGCCUACCGAAGCCCGACGAUCAGUAGCCGACCUGACGAGGGUGACCGGCCACAGUUGGGACUGAGACACGGGCCCAAACUCCUACGGGAGG
Molecule: ribosomal RNA, 351 nt
Filed under: uncultured bacterium
Lineage: Bacteria
Description: bacterial SSU rRNA
Rfam family: Bacterial small subunit ribosomal RNA
Source: RNAcentral